Non-coding RNA from Nicotiana tabacum (common tobacco), 1660 nucleotides. The record is from RefSeq and is a predicted model, not a curated record. NCBI's taxonomy places the organism in Eukaryota, Viridiplantae, Streptophyta, Magnoliopsida, Solanales, Solanaceae.
UUUGCCCAUUUUUUAUCCCACCCUUCAUCGACUUGCUGGUGCUGAAGAAAUUUCCAUUUUUACUGCCGCAUCUUCCACCACCUCUGUUGCUGCUGUUAUCGCUGCUUCCACAUUAAUGGUUGAUUAAGUCUUGAAAUGUGCUGCAGUGCUCGAAUUGCAUCAUGGAGAGCUGAACUAGGUCUACCUGAACUGAAGGUUGGAAUUAUUUAGUUGCGGAGGUAAAAAUGUCUUGCUUCUUUAAAUUGUUGUUGCUUGACCGAGAUUUUGCUUCAUCCCCAAUUCUUACAUAGCAAAUUCAAUGGGUCGAAGCCGAUUUAGUUCUGUUGAAAUUGGCAAACAAGAUAGCCCAUUCUUACAUAGCUUCUUCCAGUAAUAUUUAUUAAUGUUUGCACUGAUUGACAUUUUUUCGUAGUUAAAAGAUUAUCUAAAUGCAAGAAGAAUCGGGUGUUGUAUUUUUUCUUUUCCACCUGUAUUUGUACUUAAAACUAGUUAUUACCAUGUGACAAUCAUCCAAGAUCAAUACUUCUGAUGAAGGAAGGUGUUGGGUAUUAUCUAUAAUGUGGUAUCUUCUUAAGACCUCUUAGUAAUUUCUUCUAUCUGGGCAUUACAUAUUGCAAAAGGACGUAAAACUCGUACUAAUAGACUUCAAAGGAUAGAUAAAAUUGAACUUAUACAUGAGUCAUCUUCUAUCCUAGAAACUACUAGACAACAGGUUUUGAAGACUUCUCCAGGCAUUGAUCACAUUAUACAUAUACAGCCUGCCUCGAUGUUAUUGAAGAGAGCAUUUCUGGAGGAUAUACUGGAGUUUUGAAGGUGAAUUUUAUAUAAAGCACACCAUAAAGUUUUGUCUUAAUUAGCAUGCAAAAACGUUUAGUCAAAUCUGCAGGUGCAAGUGCAGGUUUAUGUAUUUGCUCAUGCUUAAUCAUUUUUAUUGUCCUUUACUUAGCAGAUCACAAGAAAUCAAUUGCACCAUUAUACAUAAUAUUUUAUUGUCUUUUAGAAUUUUUGAGUAGACAUUUCAACUAAUUAGUGCAAGCUCAGUUAUUAUACCUUGACAAUCUAAGUUCUGGUCAAACAAAGGAAGUAGAAAUGGAGCGGAAGGGGUAUGCUGUUGUCUUAUCGAUACAAAUUUGUUUCCAGCUGUCUUUUACAGGAUUGCAUAGUAGUUUCACUUGGAUUUGCUACAGAGGUCCUAGCAUUUUCAUCUCUACUGUUUUCUUUGUGGUGGUUUUGAUUGUCUUUCGAAUAUUUAUUUAUAAGAUUUUCCUGUCUAGUUUAUUUUGUCAGUUAUAGAGUUACUGUCUUGUGGCUAUUUGUAGGAGGACAAGGUUUUCAGAGAAUUAGUAAUCUCAAAAUUGGCUAGAGCUCUGCUCCAUAUGGAUUUUGAUGAACGUACAACAUCAAAGGAAAGUCUUGGUGAGCAGUUGGAAAUGGUGGCCAAACGAAAAUUUGAUCUAAUGGAACGUAAUCAUCAAGACUUUGGACAAUUACGAUUUUUGUUAUUCCUGAUACUAUAAUAAUACAUUUGCUUUUUAUAAAGUUAAUUAAUUGUUAGCAUGCCCCUUGAGACAGUUUUCUUUAUUCGUUGAUGUAUUACACGAGGUUUACUCCUUGUUUGAAGUUCAUUGCAAGUUUAUGCAUUUGAAUUAUUCUUUUAUUA